CGACUCUGGUUUCUCUUUCAUUAGGCAAAGGGAUUUCGCCUUUUACUAAAGACUUCCGUGGAGAGGGAAUACUUACGAGUUCAACAUAUUUUUGGAGGUGCUUUGCUUCUUGCAGAGCC
Small nuclear RNA from Oncorhynchus nerka (sockeye salmon), 119 nucleotides. RefSeq annotates it as U5 spliceosomal RNA. NCBI's taxonomy places the organism in Eukaryota, Metazoa, Chordata, Actinopteri, Salmoniformes, Salmonidae. The transcript has a single exon. The record is from RefSeq and is a predicted model, not a curated record.